GGCUUGUUGGUCAAGAGGUAAAGACAUCACCCUCUCACGGUGAAAUCAGGGGUUCGAUCCCCCUACAGGUCACCA
RNAcentral lists this transfer RNA (75 nucleotides) under Clostridium sp. Its description in RNAcentral is "tRNA-Glu". It matches the Rfam family "tRNA". From Rfam's summary of the family: Transfer RNA (tRNA) molecules are approximately 80 nucleotides in length. Their secondary structure includes four short double-helical elements and three loops (D, anti-codon, and T loops). The record is from RNAcentral. Lineage: Bacteria; Bacillati; Bacillota; Clostridia; Eubacteriales; Clostridiaceae. RNAcentral also lists the same sequence under 1 other name.